GCAAUCUACCUUUUACAGAGGGAUAGCCCAGAGAAAUUUGGAUUAAUACCUCAUAGUAUAGCUCUACCGCAUGGUAGUACUAUUAAAGUCACAACGGUAAAAGAUGAGCAUGCGUCCCAUUAGCUAGUUGGUAAGGUAACGGCUUACCAAGGCUACGAUGGGUAGGGGUCCUGAGAGGGAGAUCC
Molecule: ribosomal RNA, 185 nt
Filed under: uncultured Bacteroidota bacterium
Lineage: Bacteria; Pseudomonadati; Bacteroidota
Description: uncultured Bacteroidetes bacterium partial 16S ribosomal RNA
Rfam family: Bacterial small subunit ribosomal RNA
Source: RNAcentral